Molecule: ribosomal RNA, 468 nt
Filed under: uncultured bacterium
Lineage: Bacteria
Description: partial 16S ribosomal RNA
Rfam family: Bacterial small subunit ribosomal RNA
Source: RNAcentral
GACGAACGCUGGCGGCGUGCUUAACACAUGCAAGUCGAACGGAAAGGCCCUGCUUUUGUGGGGUGCUCGAGUGGCGAACGGGUGAGUAACACGUGAGUAACCUGCCCUUGACUUUGGGAUAACUUCAGGAAACUGGGGCUAAUACCGGAUAGGAGCUCCUGCUGCAUGGUGGGGGUUGGAAAGUUUCGGCGGUUGGGGAUGGACUCGCGGCUUAUCAGCUUGUUGGUGGGGUAGUGGCUUACCAAGGCUUUGACGGGUAGCCGGCCUGAGAGGGUGACCGGCCACAUUGGGACUGAGGUACGGCCCAGACUCCUUCGGGAGGCAGCAGUGGGGAAUAUUGCACCAUGGGCGGAAGCCUGAUGCAGGAACGCCGCGUGCGGGAUGACGGCCUUCGGGUUGUAAACCGCUUUCGCCUGUGACGAAGCGUGAGUGACGGUAAUGGGUAAAGAAGCACCGGCUAACUACGUG